This 571-nucleotide ribosomal RNA is filed under the name uncultured eukaryote. RNAcentral describes it as "bacterial SSU rRNA". It matches the Rfam family "Eukaryotic small subunit ribosomal RNA", at positions 618 to 1189 of the family's 1831-position model. The record is from RNAcentral.
GUUAAAAAGCUCGUAGUUGAACGUUCGGGUUCCGCGGGACGGGGCGCCCCGCGAGGGACGGCGCCGCCCCGGGGCUCGUGAUAUCUUAUCUCGCCGCCCGUCGCGAGGCGGACGGAGGGAUGGAUGAGGUUACCUGGAAAAAAUCGGGGCGAUCUAGGCGGGCGAACCUCGCCAACGAACGAUCGGACAUGGGAUAACGGAAGAGGGCGUCGGCUCGACUUCGUCGGUUCCUCGGGCCGAGGCACGUACGGUGAAUAGGGACGGUCGGGGCCGCCCGUACCGGGUCGUGAGAGGUGAAAUUCUAGGAUCGACCCGAGACGAACUGCCGCGAAAGCAUUCGGCAAGGACGCUUUCAUUAAUCAAGAACGAAAUCGGGGGAUCGAAGACGAUCAGAUACCGUCGUAGUCCCGACCGUAAACGAUGCCGACCGAGGGCCCGGAGGAGUUACGUACGACCCUCCGGGCCCUCCCGCGAGAAAUCAGGAGUAUUCGGGUUCCGGGGGGAGUAUGGUCGCAAGGCCGAAACUUAAAGGAAUUGACGGAAGGGCACCACCAGGAGUGGAAUCUGCGGC